Molecule: non-coding RNA, 72 nt
Organism: Ruditapes philippinarum (Manila clam)
Lineage: Eukaryota; Metazoa; Mollusca; Bivalvia; Venerida; Veneridae
Source: the annotation of a RefSeq genome assembly
GCCACUGUAGUGUAGUGGUAAGCAUAUUGGACCGGCAAUCCAGAGACAUGGGUUCAAGUCCCGACUGUGGCA